CGCUGGCGGCGCGCUUACACAUGCAAGUCGGACGAGAAAGGGGGAGCAAUCUCCUGAGUACAGUGGCGUACGGGUGAGUAACACGUGGGGAUCUACCUUCUGGUGGGGGAUAACUCUGGGAAACCGGAGCUAAUACCGCAUAAGCAGGGAACUGGAAAGCCGAAAGGCGCCGGAAGAGGAGCCCGCGGCCGAUUAGCCAGUUGGUGAGGUAACGGCUCACCAAAGCAAAGAUCGGUAGCCGGCCUGAGAGGGCACACGGCCACACUGGCACUGAAACACGGGCCAGACUCCUACGGGAGGCAGCAGUGGGGAAUCUUGCACAAUGGGGGCAACCCUGAUGCAGCGACGCCGCGUGAGCGAUGAAGCCCUUCGGGGUGUAAAGCUCUUUCGACCGGAACGAUAAUGACGGUACCGGGAGAAGAAGCUGCGGCUAACUACGUGCCAGCAGCCGCGGUAAUACGUAGGCAGCAAGCGUUGUUCGGAGUUACUGGGCGUAAAGAGUGCGUAGGCGGUGGCCUAAGUUCGGUGUGAAAUCUCCCGGCUUAACUGGGAGGGUGCGCCGGAAACUGGGCUGCUGGAGUGUGGGAAAGGCAAGCGGAAUUCCUGGUGUAGCGGUGAAAUGCGU
RNAcentral lists this ribosomal RNA (625 nucleotides) under uncultured bacterium. RNAcentral's name for it is "bacterial SSU rRNA". It matches the Rfam family "Bacterial small subunit ribosomal RNA", at positions 34 to 691 of the family's 1533-position model. The record is from RNAcentral.